CGAUUUGAAUUUUGAAUGUGCAAGGCAUGAAGUGGGAAACAUGUGAUCUUUGGAUUUGGCUUCCUUAAUAAGCUUGAUCUUGAAAUCCAAAAUCUGAAUAUGAAUCUUGGGGAUUUGACUUUCAAAAUACUUUCCUCAUUUGGCUCUCCAUAUAUGGCAGCUUUGGAUAUGCCUUCUUGAAUAAGAAAAAGGCUUCUUGGAG
This 202-nucleotide long non-coding RNA is filed under the name Manihot esculenta (cassava). RNAcentral describes it as "long non-coding RNA (MESC_LNC009587)". Lineage: Eukaryota; Viridiplantae; Streptophyta; Magnoliopsida; Malpighiales; Euphorbiaceae. The record is from RNAcentral.